CACGCCCUAAACGAUGUAUGCUUGGUGUUAGUCACGCAAGUGGCUAGUGCCGGAGGUAACCCGUUAAGCAUACCACCUGGGGAGUACGAUCGCAAGGUUGAAACUCAAAGGAAUUGACGGGGGCCCGCACAAGCGGUGGAUCAUGUGGUUUAAUUCGAUGCAACGCGAAGAACCUUACCCGGGCUUGAAGUGCAGCGGAAUUAGGUGGAAACAUCUAAGCUUUCGAGCCGCUGUAGAGGUGC
RNAcentral lists this ribosomal RNA (242 nucleotides) under uncultured bacterium. RNAcentral describes it as "partial 16S ribosomal RNA". It matches the Rfam family "Bacterial small subunit ribosomal RNA", at positions 796 to 1041 of the family's 1533-position model. The record is from RNAcentral.